Molecule: non-coding RNA, 326 nt
Organism: Lolium perenne
Lineage: Eukaryota; Viridiplantae; Streptophyta; Magnoliopsida; Poales; Poaceae
Source: RefSeq, a predicted model, not a curated record
CCAGCAUUUGCUUCUUCACAGAUAGGAUCACAAAGUGGUGUUGUGAGAUACGACGAGUUCUUCGACAAGUUCUUCUGCAGCUUUUCACAGGUACAAGAUGGUGACGUUAGCAAGGUUACCCUUCCGGCUUGGCCUGGGCAGGGUUAUGGAUGCCGCUGGUUAUCUUCAGGACUCUUAGUCCAAUUUGUAUCUUGUCCGUACUCGGACGUAUUCGAUCUUCUGUAUGAUUUGGAUCUUUGUAUUGUAUAUUUGUAUCUUGACUCGUUGGAGUCGUUGUUGUAAUAUAUGUUUCUUGUGGGCUCUAUUGUAAUCCUGUUGUAAUGUUA